Molecule: ribosomal RNA, 447 nt
Filed under: uncultured bacterium
Lineage: Bacteria
Description: bacterial SSU rRNA
Rfam family: Bacterial small subunit ribosomal RNA
Source: RNAcentral
UGGGGAAUCUUGGACAAUGGGCGCAAGCCUGAUCCAGCCAUGCCGCGUGAGUGAUGAAGGCCUUAGGGUUGUAAAGCUCUUUUGCCGGGGACGAUAAUGACGGUACCCGGAGAAUAAGUCCCGGCUAACUUCGUGCCAGCAGCCGCGGUAAUACGAAGGGGACUAGCGUUGUUCGGAAUCACUGGGCGUAAAGCGCACGUAGGCGGAUUUGUAAGUCAGGGGUGAAAUCCCGGGGCUCAACCUCGGAACUGCCUUUGAUACUGCGGAUCUCGAGUCCGAUAGAGGUGAGUGGAAUUCCUAGUGUAGAGGUGAAAUUCGUAGAUAUUAGGAAGAACACCGGUGGCGAAGGCGGCCCACUGGAUCGGUACUGACGCUGAGGUGCGAAAGCGUGGGGAGCAAACAGGAUUAGAUACCCCCGUAGUCCCUGAGCGGGCUGGCAAGGCGCAU